GUGACAGUUAGCUCAGUUGGUUAGAGUGUGGUGCUGAUAACACCAAGGUCACAGGUUCGAUUCCCAUUCGGACCA
Non-coding RNA from Podarcis lilfordi (Lilford's wall lizard), 75 nucleotides. The record is from the annotation of a GenBank genome assembly. NCBI's taxonomy places the organism in Eukaryota, Metazoa, Chordata, Lepidosauria, Squamata, Lacertidae.